This 408-nucleotide ribosomal RNA is filed under the name uncultured bacterium. RNAcentral's name for it is "partial 16S ribosomal RNA". It matches the Rfam family "Bacterial small subunit ribosomal RNA", at positions 28 to 526 of the family's 1533-position model. The record is from RNAcentral.
GACGAACGCUGGCGGCGUGCUUAACACAUGCAAGUUGAACGGAGUGGCGAACGGGUGAGUAACACGUGGGUGAUCUGCCUCGCACUUCGGGAUACGCUUGGGAAACUGGGUCUAAUACCGGAUCUUGCAAGAUGAGCUCGCGGCCGAUCAGCCUGUUGGUGGGGUAAUGGCCUACCAAGGCGUCGACGUGUAGCCGGCCUGAUAGGGUGUCCGGCCACAUUGGGACGGGGAUACGGCCCGAACUCUUACGGGGGGCAGCAAUGAGGAAUAUUGCACGAUGGGCGGAGACCUGAUGGAGCGACGCCGCGUGGGGGAUGAAGGCCUUCGGAUUGUAAACUCCUUUCGACAGGGACGCGGUAGCUGGAUAUUGAGCACCGGCGAACUACGUGCCAGCGGCCGCGGUAAUAC